AUCAAUAACAAGAGUGCACACGCUGAAAUGUCUCGCCUUCUUUACUAAUCAUUGAUAUUAUGUUGAUAGUCCUAAAUAUAAAGCUUUAUUACAACUGUCACAUAAACUUAACAUUAACCAAGUAAACUAAACAUUGACCAUGGAACCAUGAAAAUGAGGUCAAGGUCAGAUGAACCAUGCUAGGCAGGCAUGUACAGCUAACAAUUCUUCCAUACAACAAAUAUAGUUGACCUAUUGCUUAUAGUUUAAGAAAAACAGACGAAAACACAAAAACUUAACACUGAGCAAUGAACCUUGAAAAUGAGGUCAAGGUCAAAUAAAACCUGCGUGACUGACAUAUAGAUCAUAAAAUAUUUCCAUACACCAAAUAUAGUUGAACUAUUGCAUAUAGUAUUAGAAAAAAAGACCAAAACUCAAAAACUUAACUUUGACAACUGAACCAUGAAAAUGAGGUCAAGGUCAGAUGACACCUGCCAGCUAGACAUGUACACCUUACAAUCAUUCCAUACACCAAAUAUAGUAGACCUAUUGCAUACAGUAUAAGAAAAACAGACCAAAACACAAAAACUUAACUAUAACCACUGAACCAUGAAAAUGAGGUCAAGGUCAGAUGACACCUGCCAGUUGGACAUGUACACCUUACAGUCCUUCCAUACACCGAAUAUACUAGACCUAUUGCUUAUAGUAUCUGAGAUAUGGACUUGACCACGAAAACUUAACCUUGUUCACUGAUCCAUGAAAUGAGGUCGAGGUCAAGUGAAAACUGUCUGACGGGCAUGAGGACCUUGCAAGGUACGCACAUACCAAAUAUAGUUAUCCUAUUACUUAUAAUAAGAGAGAAUUUAACAUUACAAAAAAUCUGAACUUUUUUUUCAAGCAGUCACUGAACCAUGAAAAUGAGGUCAAGGACAUUGGACAUGUGACUGACGGAAACUUCGUAACAUGAGGCAUCCAUGUACAAAGUAUGAAGCAUCCAGGUCUUCCACCUUCUAAAAUAUAAAGCUUUUAAGAAGUUAGCUAACGCCGCCGCCGCCGCCGCCGCCGCCGCCGGAUCGCUAUCCCUAUGUCGAGCUUUCUGCGACAAAAGUCGCAGGCUCGACAAAAAUCAAAA
Mytilus californianus (California mussel) is the source of this 1111-nucleotide long non-coding RNA. RefSeq lists it as uncharacterized. The record is from RefSeq and is a predicted model, not a curated record. The transcript is spliced from 2 exons. NCBI's taxonomy places the organism in Eukaryota, Metazoa, Mollusca, Bivalvia, Mytilida, Mytilidae.